Molecule: ribosomal RNA, 404 nt
Filed under: uncultured Burkholderiaceae bacterium
Lineage: Bacteria; Pseudomonadati; Pseudomonadota; Betaproteobacteria; Burkholderiales; Burkholderiaceae
Description: bacterial LSU rRNA
Rfam family: Bacterial large subunit ribosomal RNA
Source: RNAcentral
GACGUCGGGUGCUAACGUCCGACGUCAAGAGGGAAACAACCCAGACCGCCAGCUAAGGUCCCCAAGAUUGGCUAAGUGGGAAACGAAGUGGGAAGGCUAAAACAGUCAGGAGGUUGGCUUAGAAGCAGCCAUCCUUUAAAGAAAGCGUAAUAGCUCACUGAUCGAGUCGUCCUGCGCGGAAGAUGUAACGGGGCUAAGCCAGUCACCGAAGCUGCGGAUGCGUGCUUGCACGCAUGGUAGGAGAGCGUUCCGUAAGCCUGCGAAGGUGCCUUGUAAAGGGUGCUGGAGGUAUCGGAAGUGCGAAUGCUGACAUGAGUAGCGAUAAAGGGGGUGAAAGGCCCCCUCGCCGUAAGCCCAAGGUUUCCUACGCAACGUUCAUCGGCGUAGGGUGAGUCGGCCCCUAA